Molecule: long non-coding RNA, 771 nt
Organism: Salvelinus namaycush (lake trout)
Lineage: Eukaryota; Metazoa; Chordata; Actinopteri; Salmoniformes; Salmonidae
Exons: 3
Source: RefSeq, a predicted model, not a curated record
GAGAGGACAGGUUAAUCAACAUAGUGAUGGCAGAGAGGACAGGUUAAUCAACAUAGUGAUGGUAGGUAGUGGAGAAGGACAGGUUAAUCAACAUAGUGAUGGUAGGUAGUGGAGAAGGACAGGUUAUUCAACAUAGUGAUGGUAGGUAGUGGAGAAGGACAGGUUAAUCAACAUAGUGAUGGUAGAUAGGAGAGAGGACAGGUUAAUCAACAUAGUGAUGGUAGGUAGUGGAGAAGGACAGGUUAAUCAACAUAGUGAUGGUAGGUAGCAGAGAGGACAGGUUAAUCAACAUAGUGAUGGUAGGUAGGACAGGUUAAUCAACAUAGUGAUGGUAGGUAGUGGAGAAGGACAGGUUGAUCAACAUAGUUGUGGUAGGUAGCAGACAGGACAGGUUAAUCAACAUAGUGAUGGUAGGUAGUGGAGAAGGACAGGUUAAUCAACAUAGUGAUGGUAGGUAGCAGAGAGGACAGGUUAAUCAACAUAGUGAUGGUAGGUAGUGGAGAAGGACAGGUUAUUCAACAUAGUGAUGGCAGAGAGGACAGGUUGAUCAACAUAGUGAUGGUAGGUAGCAGAGAGGACAGGUUAAUCAACAUAGUGAUGGUAGGUAGUGGAGAAGGACAGGUUAAUCAACAUAGUGAUGGUAGGUAGUGGAGAAGGACAGGUUAAUCAACAUAGUGAUGGUAGGUAGGAGAGAGGACAGGUUAAUCAACAGUGAUGGUAGAUAGGAGAGAGGACAGGUUAAUCAACAUAGUGAUGGUAGGUAGUGGAGAA